This 449-nucleotide ribosomal RNA is filed under the name uncultured bacterium. RNAcentral describes it as "bacterial SSU rRNA". It matches the Rfam family "Bacterial small subunit ribosomal RNA", at positions 328 to 794 of the family's 1533-position model. The record is from RNAcentral.
CGCCCAGACUCCUACGGGAGGCAGCAGUGGGGAAUAUUGCACAAUGGGGGGAACCCUGAUGCAGCGACGCCGCGUGGGUGAAGGAGUCCCUCGGUACGUAAAGCCCUAUCAGCAGGAAAGAAAAUGACGGUACCUGACUAAGAAGCCCCGGCUAACUACGUGCCAGCAGCCGCGGUAAUACGUAGGGGGCAAGCGUUAUCCGGAUUUACUGGGUGUAAAGGGAGCGUAGACGGCAGUGCAAGUCCGGAGUGAAAGCCCGGGGCUCAACCCGGGGACUGCUCUGGAAACUGUAAAGCUGGAGUGCGGGAGGGGAAGGCGGAAUUCCUGGUGUAGCGGUGAAAUGCGUAGAUAUCAGGAGGAACACCGGCGGCGAAGGCGGCCUGCUGGACCGUAACUGACGUUGAGGCUCGAAAGCGUGGGGAGCAAACAGGAUUAGAUCCCCUCGUAAA